RNAcentral lists this ribosomal RNA (265 nucleotides) under uncultured bacterium. RNAcentral describes it as "partial 16S ribosomal RNA". It matches the Rfam family "Bacterial small subunit ribosomal RNA", at positions 89 to 354 of the family's 1533-position model. The record is from RNAcentral.
UGGCGACCGGCGCACGGGUGAGUAACACGUAUCCAACCUGCCGAUAACUCGGGGAUAGCCUUUCGAAAGAAAGAUUAAUAUCCGAUAGGAUAUCAAGAUCGCAUGAUCUUGAUAUUAAAGAAUUUCGGUUAUCGAUGGGGAUGCGUUCCAUUAGUUAGUUGGCGGGGUAACGGCCCACCAAGACGACGAUGGAUAGGGGUUCUGAGAGGAAGGUCCCCCACCAUUGGAACUGAGACACGGUCCAAACUCCUACGGAAGGCAGCAG